AAGACGAUGGUUGUCAGGUGUAGUGGAAUCGUAUUCAGACUCGAAAGGGAUGAUCAGGGAGUUCUCUGGACACGCCACGCUGGCUGGGGUUCCACUGGCUUCGGGCCUACCUCCCUGUGGCCGUCCAUAGCCUUCCGGAGCCACGCGGCGGCAGUGUGGACGAACUGACUCUGCUGAGAGGGGAGCCGGUCUUUCCCAGGUCAGAGGGUCUGCAUUGUUUGGGGAGCUGGCCAGGUACAGGCUCUCAGUGCUGCCUGAGCCUCACCGGGUGGUGCCCCUCUAAACCAGAGAGACGGCUGGCUCUGCUCACAGACAGAGCUCAGAGCGGCGAGGUUGCUCCGGGGCUGCCUUCUCAUCUCGUGACUGGGGCGUAGAUUCCCAUGAGCUGGCUGACUUCAGAAACUCCUGAGGAGACGGCCAAGUGUGCUGACUGCCCCCUCCAUGUCCACCAGAGAGUGAGGCGUAGGAAAGGCCCCGAGGCAGAGGAGGUCAGGCCAGGCACCGUGUCGGCGUUCUCCUGCCUCUCAACUGCCAUCUCCUUGGGGCUAAAAUGGAGUGAGAAGAAAAGGCCCAACCGACCCUGAGCCGUUUAUUUAUUGGCAGCUUCUGGACAUGGCACCGUGUCUGAUGCAGCCGAAUAACUGUGCAGGAGCUGCAGAGCCUCGGUUAACUCCCGGGACUGCAACAUUCGGCUUCCUGCUUCUCCAGGCGUCGUCCCGGUGGUAUUUCAGCCCAGGGAGACAGUUCUACUUCACUCUGAGCUCAGGGCUAAAGCUUAACCUUUGGUCCCCAUGAUAAUCAGUUGGGACUCUCUGUUGGCCAUAACCCGGGCGGUAGAACACACCCGAGGUCUGAGAACUACAGUGUUUACUGAGCUGGUGUUUCUGGGCCGUGUUCAAAGGACACCUGGCAGGUACACACAGACAGCCUUGCCAGCAAAGGGACCCCAAACGUCACAUAAACCAGGAAGUCAGAGCACAGCGCACGAAAUCCCGUCCCUGUCGCCUGCCUGCCAUAAAGUGACUCCUUCCGGCAUGGACGAGAGCCAGCCUUUCAUCUGUUAUUUGACUGAAUGAUGAAAGUGGCAAUUAAGUUUUCAUAGGGUGUGUUUACAUAACUUUCUUUUGAAAAGCCAACAGCAGUGUACACAACCAGCUGCCUGUGUAUCUGCACAGGCUGGGGUGGGACAGGCUGCUUUGUGGUAAACACAGGGAGCUCACCACACCGGGUUCUUUAUUUUCAACUUCUAACAAAGUUUUCCAUUAACUAAGAACUUUGUUGGUUGGUUCAUUCUGGCUACUAAAAUAAGAAGUGAAACUUG
Long non-coding RNA from Psammomys obesus (fat sand rat), 1321 nucleotides. RefSeq lists it as uncharacterized. The record is from RefSeq and is a predicted model, not a curated record. The transcript is spliced from 2 exons. NCBI's taxonomy places the organism in Eukaryota, Metazoa, Chordata, Mammalia, Rodentia, Muridae.